AACGCGAAGAACCUUACCAGGUCUUGACAUCCCGAUGACCGUUCCAGAGAUGGGACUUCUCUUCGGAGCAUUGGAGACAGGUGGUGCAUGGUUGUCGUCAGCUCGUGUCGUGAGAUGUUGGGUUAAGUCCCGCAACGAGCGCAACCCUUGAUCUUAGUUGCCAGCACUUCGGGUGGGCCCUCUAAGAUGACUGCCGGUGACAAACCGGAGGAAGGUGGGGAUGACGUCAAAUCAUCAUGCCCCUUAUGACCUGGGCUACACACGUACUACAAUGGUCGGUACAACGGGCAACGAAGGAGCGAUCUGGAGCAAAUCCUUAAAAGCCGAUCUCAGUUCGGAUUGCAGGCUGCAACUCGCCUGCAUGAAGUCGGAAUUGCUAGUAAUCGCGGAUCAGCAUGCCGCGGUGAAUACGUUCCCGGGUCUUGUACACACCG
RNAcentral lists this ribosomal RNA (434 nucleotides) under uncultured bacterium. RNAcentral describes it as "bacterial SSU rRNA". It matches the Rfam family "Bacterial small subunit ribosomal RNA", at positions 958 to 1392 of the family's 1533-position model. The record is from RNAcentral.